RNAcentral lists this ribosomal RNA (379 nucleotides) under uncultured cyanobacterium. RNAcentral describes it as "bacterial SSU rRNA". It matches the Rfam family "Bacterial small subunit ribosomal RNA", at positions 376 to 770 of the family's 1533-position model. The record is from RNAcentral. Lineage: Bacteria; Bacillati; Cyanobacteriota.
CGAAAGCCUGACGGAGCAAGACCGCGUGGGGGAAGAAGGCUCUUGGGUUGUCAACCCCUUUUCUCAGGGAAGAAGUUCUGACGGUACCUGAGGAAUAAGCAUCGGCUAACUCCGUGCCAGCAGCCGCGGUAAGACGGAGGAUGCAAGCGUUAUCCGGAAUUAUUGGGCGUAAAGCGUCCGUAGGUGGCUUUUCAAGUCGGCGGUCAAAGACCGGGGCUUAACUCCGGAAAGGCCGUGGAAACUGAAAGGCUAGAGAAAGGUAGGGGUAGGGGGAAUUCCCGGUGUAGCGGUGAAAUGCGUAGAGAUCGGGAAGAACACCGGUGGCGCAAGCGCCCUACUGGACCUUAUCUGACACUGAGGGACGAAAGCUAGGGGAGCG